UUUCGUUGUGUUUGUUCUUUGUUUUGUUUUGAUUUUGUUUUCUUUCAAAAAAAAUUGCAUUUUUGUUGAAAGUUUUAGGCUAUAGAAUAAUUUGAGGUUGGUUUGUAGAGACUUGGGAAAAGUUCACAAGAUCGGUAUGGUUUUAACACCUUAAAUCUCCUGAAUAUGAAAAUCAUUUUGAAUACUUGUUAUGACAUAGCCUUGAGUUCUCAUUUUACUUAUAGCUCUUGAGUAGUUUAUUUCAGCAGUCAGCACCAUCUCACACGCAUUCUACACAGGGAAGCCGAUGAAUAUAAGUGAGUGCUCCGAAAAA
Molecule: long non-coding RNA, 313 nt
Filed under: Lathyrus oleraceus (garden pea)
Lineage: Eukaryota; Viridiplantae; Streptophyta; Magnoliopsida; Fabales; Fabaceae
Description: Pisum sativum (pea) long non-coding RNA (PSAT_LNC008210)
Source: RNAcentral